RNAcentral lists this ribosomal RNA (374 nucleotides) under uncultured Denitrovibrio sp. RNAcentral's name for it is "bacterial SSU rRNA". It matches the Rfam family "Bacterial small subunit ribosomal RNA", at positions 1007 to 1382 of the family's 1533-position model. Lineage: Bacteria; Pseudomonadati; Deferribacterota; Deferribacteres; Deferribacterales; Geovibrionaceae. The record is from RNAcentral.
UACAGCAGCCGCUUGCGGUCUGUAUACAGGUGCUGCAUGGCUGUCGUCAGCUCGUGCCGUGAGGUGUGGGUUAAGUCCCGCAACGAGCGCAACCCUACUUUUUAGUUGCCAUCAGGUUAAGCUGGGCACUCUAAAGAGACUGCCGUCGAUAAGGCGGAGGAAGUGGGGACGGACGUCAAGUCAUCAUGGCCCUUAUGUCUAGGGCUACACACGUGCUACAAUGGGUUAUACAGAGGGCAGCUAGCUCGCGAGAGUCUGCGAAUCCCUUAAAGUAAUCCUCAGUUCGGAUUGUAGUCUGCAACUCGACUACAUGAAGUUGGAAUCGCUAGUAAUCGCAGGUCAGCAAAACUGCGGUGAAUACGUUCCCGGGCCUU